AAGCUCUGGCUCCUGUGCAUUUCGCAUAAAUCUUUCGCCUUUUACUAAAGAUAUCCGUGCGCAGGAGCGUUUAUGAAAACAGAGUUUGAAUUUUGCUUUAAUAUAUAUAUAUAUAUAUA
This 119-nucleotide small nuclear RNA is filed under the name Trichuris muris. RNAcentral describes it as "snRNA TMUE_0100000150". It matches the Rfam family "U5 spliceosomal RNA". Rfam says of the family: U5 RNA is a component of both types of known spliceosome. The precise function of this molecule is unknown, though it is known that the 5' loop is required for splice site selection and p220 binding, and that both the 3' stem-loop and the Sm site are important for Sm protein binding and cap methylation. The record is from RNAcentral. Lineage: Eukaryota; Metazoa; Nematoda; Enoplea; Trichinellida; Trichuridae.